UUAUGUUUGCCAACACUCUGGUGCACGAUUGAAAUGGCAGUUUGUUCGUUUUCAUAUGUAUCGUGCACCUAUUUUGGUGCAAACUAGAAAGAUUAGUAGAUUGUGCUUCUUACUCACCGCGUUAUCCUUCUGUCGCUUGACGUGGAUAUCAGAGGUCCAUCUUUGGAGCGUAUAU
RNAcentral lists this small nucleolar RNA (175 nucleotides) under Lipomyces starkeyi NRRL Y-11557. RNAcentral describes it as "Small nucleolar RNA snR80". It matches the Rfam family "Small nucleolar RNA snR80". Lineage: Eukaryota; Fungi; Ascomycota; Lipomycetes; Lipomycetales; Lipomycetaceae. The record is from Rfam by way of RNAcentral.